GUAUUCCAUACGGAAUACAUAUAAUAAAAUUGGAAAGAUACAGAGAAGAUUAGCAUGGCCCCUGCGCAAGGAUGACACGCAAAAUCGUGAAGCGUUCCACAUUCCC
RNAcentral lists this small nuclear RNA (106 nucleotides) under Daphnia pulex (common water flea). The record is from RNAcentral. Lineage: Eukaryota; Metazoa; Arthropoda; Branchiopoda; Diplostraca; Daphniidae.